Molecule: non-coding RNA, 266 nt
Organism: Cyanistes caeruleus (blue tit)
Lineage: Eukaryota; Metazoa; Chordata; Aves; Passeriformes; Paridae
Source: RefSeq, a predicted model, not a curated record
UUCUCUUCAUAUGAUACUUUGCUUUUCUUGUUUCACAGCUAAAACUGGCCUGUUGUGGCUGGGUGUGAUGUAGCAGCACUACAGCCAGGAGUGGUGGAAUGUGGCUGAAGACCUUUCAGAAACUGUGCAGCAUGUCUGUUCCUCAGCAAAAGCAGCAUUUCUGCCGUGCUGAAGCCUUCAAACAACCCCACAAACUGCUAAUGCACCUGCUCAGCAGUGUGCUGAAAUGGCAGGAAUGAAUAAUAAAUGCCCUGCCUCCUUCAUAA